GUAGGAUAGGAAUGCCAAUUGUAAGAUAGAAUAGCAUGUGGUAGGAUUAGAAUGGGUAAGAUAGGAUGGAAUAGAAUAAGGUAGCAUAUGAACGGCUAAGAUAUGAUAGAAUAGAAUAAGGUAGGAUAGCAAUGGCUAAAGGUAAUAUAGAAUAGGAUAAGGUAGCAUAGGAACGGCUAAGAUAUGAUAGAAUAUGCUGGUUAGUAAAGAGUAAUUUAAGAUAGAAUAGUAUAAGGUAGGAUUGGAAUGACUAGGGCAAGAUAGAAUAGGAUGUGGUAGGAUAAGAAUGUGUAAGAUAGGAUAAGGUAGGUUAGGAACGGCUAAGGUAUGAUAUAAUCGUAUAAGAUAGGAACGGCUAAGAUAGCAUUUGGUAGGAUAGCAACGGGUAAGGUAAGAUAGAGUAGGAUGUGGUAGGAUAAGAAUGGCUAAGAUAUGAUAAAAUAGGAUAAGGUAGUAUAGGAACGGCUAAGACAUGAGGGAAUAAGCUGGUUUGGAACGGCUAAUAUAAGACAGAAUAUGAAAAGGUAGGAUAGGAAUGGCUAUGGUAUGAUAGAAUAGGAUGUGGUAGCAUAUGAACGGCUAAGAUAUUAUUGGAUAGGAUAAGGUAGGAUAGGAAUGGAUAAAGGUAAGAUAGAAUAGGAGAAGGUAGCAUAGGGAUGGCUAAGGUAAGAUAGAACAGGAUAAGGUAGCAUAGGAACGGCUAAGAUAUGAUAGAAUAAGCUGGUUAGGAAAGAGUAAUAUGAGAUAGAAUAGGAUAAGGUACGAUAGGAACAGCUGAGGUAUGAUAGAAUCGUAUAAGAUAGGAACGGCUAAGAUAGAAUUAGGUAGGAUAGCAACGGGUAAGCUAAGAUAGAAUAGGAUGUGGUAGGAUGAAAAUGGCAAAGAUAUGAUAGGAUAAGGUGGUAUAGGAACGGCUAAUAUGAGAUAGAAUAAGAUAAGGUAGG
This is a long non-coding RNA of Brienomyrus brachyistius, 944 nucleotides long. RefSeq lists it as uncharacterized. Lineage: Eukaryota; Metazoa; Chordata; Actinopteri; Osteoglossiformes; Mormyridae. The record is from RefSeq and is a predicted model, not a curated record. The transcript is spliced from 3 exons.